Populus trichocarpa (black cottonwood) is the source of this 1632-nucleotide long non-coding RNA. RefSeq lists it as uncharacterized. The record is from RefSeq and is a predicted model, not a curated record. The transcript is spliced from 2 exons. NCBI's taxonomy places the organism in Eukaryota, Viridiplantae, Streptophyta, Magnoliopsida, Malpighiales, Salicaceae.
UUUCAAAUAUGUUUUAUAAAUCAAGAUAUUUAUCUUAGUCUAACUUUAAACUAUAAAAUAGAUUCCAAUUAGAAUCUUAAAAAGUUAUUGUUCAUGUAUUAGUAUGUGAUUCUAUCAUAAUUAAAUAAAAAUUUGCCUGCAUUACCAACAUUGAAAAAACAUUUUCAAUAUGAAUGAAAUACAUAAUUGAUUCUUCAAUAUUAUGAAAUAAAAAAAAAUGAUAAUAUGAAGUUUUUUUUUCAAAUAUAUUUUAUAAAUCAAGAUAUUUAUCUUUGUCUAACUUUAAAUUAUAAAAUAGACUCCAAUUAAAAUCUUAAAAAGUUAUUGUUCACGUAUUAGUAUGUGAUUCUAUCAUAAGUAAAUAAAAAUUUACCUUAAACAAAUUACGUGGAUAAUUUAGUAGAUGCAUUAUUAGACCAUUAAGAUAGAUUUAGGUUCAAAAUGAGAUUUGGUUACGUCAGACUAGAAUAACAGUUUUAAAAAAAUCAUACAUUGAAAUUUUUACAUGAGUUUUUGGAGUUUGUUUUCUCUAUUAUAAUGAUUGUGUCACUAUAAGCACCGUCAAAUUUUUAAAUAUAAAAAAAUCUUGCCGAGGACUUCUGGUUUUGAUAAUUUUAAAAUUCUUUUUAUUAUUUUUUGAAUCGAUCGACUCAUUUAAGUAAAUAAUAACACAAUUUGAGUUCGAUGAUAUUAUGUUUCUGAAGAGUGAUAUAAUCAAAUUAUACUAUUAUAUUAAUUUUUUUUUCUCAUUUAUCAAUUUAUCAAUUUUUUUAAUUUUUUAUACUAAUAGUACAAUUUAUCAUAUUUGCAAUCACCCCAUCAUAAAAAAUGAAUUCAAAACUCUUUUUUAUUUUUUUUUCUUAUAUUCAAAAGAAGCGAAUAGUAGCUUUUCCCCUAGGUGAGAAAUUUGCUUCUCAUUAAGUCAUUUGACAUAAAUACCCUCAUCUCCCCCAAAUCACCGAAAGCAUCUGCAACAAUCUCCCAAAUCACAGAACGCAUCUGCAGCUGCUAAUCUUGCACGACUGGUUUGCCAAGGAGAUAAAUAGUAGAAGGAGAAAUUUGCUAGAAGUCGAGCAGCUGCCAAAAAGGCAUUUGCUUCGGCUGCUUUCUUUCCCAUCAUUGGGCCAUGAUGUCAACAAGCUGAAGCACUAAAACAUCAUAAGAGAAAUAAGUCCUGUGUUGUACAAUUCCUGCCACUGAUUAGAAUGGAUACACAGUCCUUGGUUAGACAUGAGAGAUUGCAAAAACAAACAGGGGUUGAUUCUUGCUAGAUACAUAUUUUCAUUUUUUUUUGUUUGAGAACCCCAUGUGAAUACUCAGUCCCCUGCUAUUAAAUUAAGGAAAACUGAAGAGUGUGAUGAGGAAAAAAAAAAAACUGGCGACUUGCAUGAUGAGGCCAUGAAGCGUGAGCUAAGAUUAAGAAUGUUGUAGAUUUUCAUUAUCGUUUUCCAUGAGAUUUGCUGGAAGGAGAUCUGGGUAAGUUUUCCAUGGAUGUAAGUAUACAGGUGCUUUUCCCAAGAUGUUUUGCAGUUUGAGUCGACCUUGAUGAGUUGUAUAGAUGAAUUUUUGAGGUAUACAAAUGCACUGGAGCUUUUUCUCUGAAGGUCUUGAAUGCAGGUCUUGAUAUCUUCA